Molecule: unclassified non-coding RNA, 200 nt
Filed under: Hypocreales sp.
Lineage: Eukaryota; Fungi; Ascomycota; Sordariomycetes; Hypocreales
Description: partial internal transcribed spacer 2
Source: RNAcentral
UUAAGUUCAGCGGGUAUUCCUACCUGAUCCGAGGUCAACCUUGGUAAAAGUUGGGGGUUUUACGGCGUGGCCGCGUCGCUAUCCUCAUGCGAGAUGUUACUACUACGCAGGGGAGUCACAACGAGACCGCCACUGUAUUUCGGGGCCGGCGCGCCGCGGAGGACGGCCGAUCCCCAACGCCGGGUCCCGCCGAAACGGGU